GUUAUUAUUUUAUCGAAUGGAUAAAUCUAUCACACCGUUCUGAGCCAAAAAUCCUUUAUUGCACGCGCUUACAAUAACUAGGGAUAAAAAUAAAAAAGCACCUUAAGCCUAAUCGAUUAAAUCUAUCGAUUAUAACUAGGAUCAUCCUCUAGUUACUAUUUCUUAUAACUAACGCAUCCACAUAUGGAUGGCGAGCACGAAGACACGUUGUCAUUUUCAACAUACUCUAACAACUAUUUCUAAUUACUCGUAUUGUCAGUAGGCUGCGGAUUUUUGUGCAUUUAUAAGAGAUUAAAAAUUGCAGAAAUAUACAGAGAAAUAUACAAAACAUCCAAAGUAUAGCACACGUGAUAAUAUUCAAUAGAUGAGAUAAAUUUCUAUUUAGAUCGUAUCUGAGAAUCUGCAGUCUAACUAUCAGUGAUAUUAAUGGAAAUUAUAGAAUCAAACCAAGACAAAAAGUUCCGCCAUUCGUAAUGAUUACCUUUAAUAAAAAGUACUAUUAACUAGACUACGGAUUUUUAUGCAUUUAUGGGAAAUUUGAAGCUGCAAACAUGCGAAAUCCAAAGUACGUAUCUCACCUAACUGACAUUUAUAGCGCAGGUGCAAUCUACGUUUGAAGUGGAUGAUACGUAACUUUUGAACGGCGUGUGUCUGGUAUGCAAUACGAUGUUCAUAAACCAUUGAUUAGGGGAGUAUGUAAUAUGGCGACUGUGUGAGCUGAAUGUAGCAAUUCUGCCAGGAUCAAUACGGUCUUGGCAAAAAUGCUCAUCCUUAGACAUCAGCUCUGUUAGUAAGAAUCUUUCAUAAGAGAAUAGAAUCUUUCAUAAUAUAUUCACACACAUACGUGCAUACGUACGUAAAAUGAUUUACGACAAUUAAAAUGCAAAGUCUUCUUAUUCCAAUAUCUUAUAUUAAUAACACAAACAAUACAUUACAGCAAUACAUUAUUUUAUGUUAAAAAAGGAGUCAUUUAUACAAUUUUACGUAUAUUACGUAUGUAUACUUUCUUUGAUGCUUGAAAUUAUGUGCAAGCAAUAGCAAAUGUACACAAAUGUGCACAGAUGUGAACAAAUGUACAAAUGGAAAGAGAAUCUUUUUUGCAGAAAUUUGCAACUAAAAGUAAUUUUCUUUAUUAUUGCUCUUUAAAAUCUUAGACGCCUAUAGAAACAGAAAUUGGACUACUAUAGAUCCCAAGAAAAAUUAAGAGAAAUAAUAUCUAUAAUAUCUGUCUGCUAUGUCGUUUUAAUUGCUUCUGAGUGACUCGAGGGACAGGAAUUUUCAUUUGAAGAAAUAUCGAAAUGGUAAAAAUUCCGAAUAAAAUGUUUUUAAAGCCGUGUUGCUCGUCCCGGUGGAUUUUAUAUUUCAGAUUUCCCUAUUUUAUCUGCGAGAACAACAGAGGAACCUCAGCUAGCGAUCCCAAAAUAUUCAACGUGUAGAACACCUUCCAAAAUUAGAUUUAAUUCUGCGACCUCCUCUUACAAAGACAUGAAAUAAAGCGCGAACUGGGACUAGAAAAUCGAAAUAUGCGAAGGCAAAUUUCAGUGUAAAUUUCGUAGAUAAAAAUAUAGAUCGACAAAAGGAUACAUAUGUAUUUGAAGAAUAAUGAUUAAACCUACUCCAUCCUAAAUUUUCCUAAAUUUUGAUUUGAAAAUUUUCAUCAAAACGAAAUCAAAUCAAAUUUGUUAAAUUCUAUAUAAAAAUGUUUUAUGUCUUUUGUUAUUUUUCUUCUAGAAAUAAUAUAAAAUAUGUAACUUUAUCAUCAUCUUUAAAUAGCAAAUAAUUUGAAUUUGAA
Bombus huntii is the source of this 1792-nucleotide long non-coding RNA. RefSeq lists it as uncharacterized. The record is from RefSeq and is a predicted model, not a curated record. The transcript is spliced from 2 exons. NCBI's taxonomy places the organism in Eukaryota, Metazoa, Arthropoda, Insecta, Hymenoptera, Apidae.